RNAcentral lists this ribosomal RNA (623 nucleotides) under uncultured bacterium. RNAcentral's name for it is "bacterial SSU rRNA". It matches the Rfam family "Bacterial small subunit ribosomal RNA", at positions 78 to 718 of the family's 1533-position model. The record is from RNAcentral.
CUUCGGGUAAUGAGGAUGGCGGACGGGUGAGUAACGCGUAAGGAACUUGCCUCUUGGACUGGGACAACUGUUGGAAACGACAGCUAAUACCGGAUAUUAUGAGAUUCUCGCAUGAGAAACUUAUGAAAGCUAUAUGCGCCAAGAGAGAGCCUUGCGUUCCAUUAGCUAGUUGGUGGGGUAACGGCCCACCAAGGCGACGAUGGAUAGCCGGCCUGAGAGGGUGAACGGCCACAAGGGGACUGAGACACGGCCCUUACUCCUACGGGAGGCAGCAGUGGGGAAUAUUGGACAAUGGACCAAAAGUCUGAUCCAGCAAUUCUGUGUGCACGAUGAAGGUCUUCGGAUUGUAAAGUGCUUUCAGUUGGGAAGAAGAAAGUGACGGUACCAACAGAAGAAGCGACGGCUAAAUACGUGCCAGCAGCCGCGGUAAUACGUAUGUCGCAAGCGUUAUCCGGAUUUAUUGGGCGUAAAGCGCGUCUAGGCGGAAAAAUAAGUCUGAUGUUAAAAUGCGGGGCUCAACUCCGUAUUGCGUUGGAACUGUUUUUCUAGAGUACUGGAGAGGUGGGCGGAACUACAAGUGUAGAGGUGAAAUUCGUAGAUAUUUGUAGGAAUGCCGAUGGAGA